UACGUAGGGGGCUAGCGUUGUUCGGAAUUACUGGGCGUAAAGCGCGCGCAGGCGGCCAUCCAAGUCAGUGGUGAAAGCCCGGAGCUCAACUCCGGAACUGCCAUUGAAACUGGUUGACUAGAGUACGAGAGAGGUGAGUGGAAUUCCCAGUGUAGAGGUGAAAUGCGUAGAUAUUGGGAGGAACACCGGUGGCGAAGGCGGGUCACUGGCUCGUUACUGACGCUGAGGCGCGACAGCGUGGGGAUCAAACAGG
RNAcentral lists this ribosomal RNA (253 nucleotides) under uncultured bacterium. RNAcentral's name for it is "partial 16S ribosomal RNA". It matches the Rfam family "Bacterial small subunit ribosomal RNA", at positions 524 to 776 of the family's 1533-position model. The record is from RNAcentral.